UACGUAGGUCCCGAGCGUUGUCCGGAUUUAUUGGGCGUAAAGCGAGCGCAGGCGGUUUAUUAAGUCUGGUGUAAAAGGCAGUGGCUCAACCAUUGUGUGCAUUGGAAACUGUUAGACUUGAGUGCAGUAGAGGAGAGUGGAAUUCCAUGUGUAGCGGUGAAAUGCGUAGAUAUAUGGAGGAACACCGGUGGCGAAAGCGGCUCUCUGGACUGUAACUGACACUGAGGCUCGAAAGCGUGGGUAGCAAACAGG
Molecule: ribosomal RNA, 252 nt
Filed under: uncultured microorganism
Description: partial 16S ribosomal RNA
Rfam family: Bacterial small subunit ribosomal RNA
Source: RNAcentral